RNAcentral lists this small nuclear RNA (310 nucleotides) under Chinchilla lanigera (long-tailed chinchilla). RNAcentral's name for it is "7SK RNA (ENSCLAG00000021517.1)". It matches the Rfam family "7SK RNA". From Rfam's summary of the family: 7SK was discovered as an abundant small nuclear RNA in the mid-70s but a possible function has only recently been suggested. Two independent studies have found that 7SK RNA binds the CDK9/cyclin T complex (known as elongation factor P-TEFb). The record is from RNAcentral. Lineage: Eukaryota; Metazoa; Chordata; Mammalia; Rodentia; Chinchillidae.
GUAAGGGUGAUCUGGCUGCGACACCUGUCCCCUCAUUGGUCCCCAGGGCUGGGUCGGCUGAUCUGGCUGGCUGGGCGGGUGUCCCGGUCCUCCUCAACACUCCGUGUGCGCCCCUCCCGAAGCUGCGCGCUGGGUGGAAGAGGACGACCACCCCCGAGGGAGGGGACCGUUCCUCCAUCAAGGGUGUAGAGGAGCUGCGCUUGCCUGCUAGAACCUCCAAACAAGCUCAUUAUAAUAGAUUUGAGGUCACAACUUGGCAUGUCAUACGUGCUGAGCUUCAGUUUUCUGCUUUUGUGAGGUGAAUAACAUU